RNAcentral lists this ribosomal RNA (440 nucleotides) under uncultured bacterium. Its description in RNAcentral is "partial 16S ribosomal RNA". It matches the Rfam family "Bacterial small subunit ribosomal RNA", at positions 338 to 795 of the family's 1533-position model. The record is from RNAcentral.
CCUACGGGGGGCAGCAGUGGGGAAUAUUGCACAAUGGGGGAAACCCUGAUGCAGCGACGCCGCGUGAGUGAAGAAGUAAUUCGUUAUGUAAAGCUCUAUCAGCAGGGAAGAAAAUGACGGUACCUGAGUAAGAAGCACCGGCUAACUACGUGCCAGCAUCCGCGGUAAUACGUAGGGGGCAAGCGUUAGCCGGAUUUACUGGGUGUAAAGGGAGCGUAGACGGCGGUGCAAGUCUGGAGUGAAAGGCGGGGGCGCAACCCCCGGACUGCUCUGGAAACUGUACGGCGGGAGUGCAGGAGAGGUUAGUGGAAUUCCUAGUGUAGCGGUGAAAUGCGUAGAUAUUAGGAGGAACACCAGUGGCGAAGGCGGCUUACUGGACUGUAACUGACGUUGAGGCUCGAAAGCGUGGGGAGCAAACAGGAUUAGAUACCCGGGUAGUC